This 303-nucleotide ribosomal RNA is filed under the name Triticum aestivum (bread wheat). RNAcentral describes it as "partial small subunit ribosomal RNA". Lineage: Eukaryota; Viridiplantae; Streptophyta; Magnoliopsida; Poales; Poaceae. The record is from RNAcentral.
AUGCAGAUAUGUCCGAGUAUUUCAAGAUUUCAGCUGCUUUUGAUAGGUCUUUCAUUCAGAAGAAUCAAAUGGUUUGUUAAUGCAAGGAGUCACUGUCCAUGUGUCGAUGGGUUUAUAUGUGCCUCUCUUUCAACUAGAGAGGAACUAAUUAUGUGUUCAUGGCUAAAAGUUCUGAAAAUUUCUGCAAAUUGUUUAGGUUUGAACAGAGAUUCAAAAUACAUUUAUGCAAGCUUCCAUGUUUUUCAGAGAUUUGUUUUAGUAAGCAUGACCUUGGCUACCAACCAUAGAUUGGUUCGAAAUUGA